This 453-nucleotide ribosomal RNA is filed under the name uncultured Paraprevotella sp. RNAcentral's name for it is "partial 16S ribosomal RNA". It matches the Rfam family "Bacterial small subunit ribosomal RNA", at positions 341 to 792 of the family's 1533-position model. Lineage: Bacteria; Pseudomonadati; Bacteroidota; Bacteroidia; Bacteroidales; Prevotellaceae. The record is from RNAcentral.
ACGGAAGGCAGCAGUGAGGAAUAUUGGUCAAUGGGCGCGAGCCUGAACUAGCCAAGUAGCGUGAGGGAUGACUGCCCUACGGGUUGUAAACCUUUUUUGUUUGGGAAUAAAUGAGACUACGUGUAGUCUUUUGCAUGUACCUUUCGAAUAAGCAUCGGCUAAUUCCGUGCCAGCAGCCGCGGUAAUACGGAAGAUGCGAGCGUUAUCCGGAUUUAUUGGGUUUAAAGGGAGCGUAGGCGGCCUUUUAAGUCUGCGGUCAAAUGUCAGGGCCCAACCUUGGCAUGCCGUGGAUACUGAUGGGCUUGAAUACACACAAGGCAAGUGGAGUUCGUCGUGUAGCGGUGAAAUGCUUAGAUAUGACGAAGAACUCCGAUUGCGAAGGCAGCUUGCUGGGGUGCGAUUGACGCUGAGGCUCGAAAGUGCGGGAAUCAAACAGGAUUAGAUACCCUGGUA